UUCACAUCACUAGUGCUUAUAGAAAUUCGGUUAGGUAUUUGAUGUGAGAUGUCUCGUCGUCUCAUUUAUUCUUUACCUACUGAAUAGGUACCUGCUCAAAACUCUUUGGUCCGUCACUCUCUGUGGUUUUUAUUUAACUUGUUUAUGUGCAGCUGCGAAGUUUAACAAUAAAAAAGAACUUAUGAGUUUUCUUGAAAUUUCCUCUGUAAUUACUAUUGAUUAGUGUAAAAGUAAAGCAAACGUAAACUAUGUGUACAAUUGUUUCGUACGAUAAUUUAAUUUGUGUAUUCUAUAGCAUGUAUGGCUAAUGGCACUCGAGGAAUGUCGGAAUAAGCCCUCGAUUUGGUAUUCAGUUUGUGUUCAUGUGUACCUACAUAGAACUACGACUUCAAGUGUUCGGUUAGCAGUGUGUUAAUAUUGUUCUCAGUUUGUACAAAUUGCGUACGCAUCCAAUUGAUGUUUUUACGGUGUGUUGUAAAAGAAAGUGUUGUGAAUAAUGUUUUCUAAAAAAAAGAAAAAGCCAUUAAUUUCGCCGCCCAGUAACUUCGAACACAGAGUACAUACAGGUUUCGAUAAACGAGAGGGAAAGUUUGUUGGACUUCCUUUGCAAUGGGCAUCUCUUGUUGGCAAUAACCAGAUAUUAAAGUCAACAAACAGACCACUACCUCUGGUCGACCCCUCAGAAAUCACACCCACCGAAAUUCUAGACUUGAAAACGAUUGUAAGAGGGGAACAUCGUACCACAUCCGUUUCUUCAAUAGCACGUCCAAUAUCUUCAAGUGUGCCUCAGCAACAACAACCAGUGCAAAAUGGGGUUGUGUUACCAAAAACAUCAAAUGUUGCUAGAUCUAAUUCUUUAAGAAGUACAAGCCCACCCAGGAUAAGGAGAGAUUUCCGUAACCAGCCAAAUGUCCCACCAGCUGUGCCAGAGGAGUCACCACCAGUGCCCCCAGCUCCACAGCAAUAUCCUAGUUUGAGGAGAGAGCAGAGUAAUUUUGCUUUGAACAAGCCUAUUCCAGAGUCCCCAGUGGACUGGUCGCAACAAAGUCAUGAAGCAACAGUGAGACCCAUUGGAGAAAUCAAUGAUAACCAUCAUGCUACAAUGAGUUUCCAGAAUAUUCAAAAUGCUAAUGUACCAUAUCAACACAAUCAUCCCCCACCUGCAGUCACUCAUACAGUGCCCCAUGGACUGAAUGGAAACAAUAUGAAUAUUGGUGAUGGGUAUCCCGUUAGACACCAGCAUCCUACGCCUGCGGCCGCGGCACCGCACCUGCCUCUUGCCGCAUCCAAGCAUGAACUGCGAUUGACGCACGAACAGUUCCGGGCGGCGCUGCGGCUGGUGGUGAGCGAAGGGGACCCUCGGGCGACGCUGAGCGGGUUCACGAAGAUCGGCGAGGGCAGCACCGGCGUGGUGUGCGCCGCCACCGACACGCGCACGCGCCGCCGCCUCGCCGUUAAGAUGAUGAACCUGCGCAAGCAGCAGCGCCGCGAGCUGCUCUUCAACGAAGUGGUGAUCAUGCGCGAUUACCCACAUCCGAACAUCGUGGAAAUGCACGCGUCGUAUCUAGUGGGUGACGAGCUGUGGGUAGUGAUGGAGUACAUGGCCGGGGGAGCGCUGACCGAUAUCGUCACUCGAGCCCGGAUGGAUGCUGAACAAAUUGCUACAGUUUGCAAACAGUGUUUGAAGGCGCUGGCAUUCCUGCACAGUCAAGGUGUUAUUCACAGAGAUAUCAAAUCAGAUUCCAUUCUGAUGACGGCGGAUGGUCGCGUCAAAUUAUCCGACUUCGGUUUCUGUGCUCAAGUUUCACAGGAACUGCCGAAGCGAAAGUCCCUUGUCGGAACACCAUACUGGAUGUCGCCCGAGGUGAUAUCGAGACUGCCAUACGGGCCUGAGGUGGACGUGUGGUCACUCGGUAUUAUGAUCGUCGAGAUGGUCGACGGAGAACCGCCCUUCUUCAACGAGCCGCCGUUGCAGGCGAUGCGUCGCAUCCGCGACAUGCCGCCGCCGCGGCCGCGCGGGGCGGCGCGCUGCCCGGCGGACCUGUCCGCGUUCAUCGAGUGUGCGCUGGUGCGCGACCCGGCGGCGCGGCACUCGGCGCAGCGCCUGCUGCAGCACGCCUUCCUGCGCCGCGCCGGGCCGCCCGCGCUGCUCGUGCCGCUCAUGCCGCCGCAGCCGCAGCCACAGCCGCAGCCGCACCACCCACUGCAGCCGCAUCCACCGCACCCACAACCGCGUUAAACACUAUCACAUACCUAGUGACGGCAGAUCUAUGAAAAGCCUUCUUACCCGAUUGUCAAAGAGGGUAAUGUUUUCUUUUUAUAUCCCUUGCAAGCUCGAGGCCCGGACGUUUGCCCAGUAUACCAACUACUAAGGCCGCCAUUGCCCUUACAUAUCUAUCAUAUCCAAUUUCAUGAAGAUUACGUAAAAUGGCUCUUGUACGAACUUACACUGUCACAGGAAAUAAAGCUCACGGUGCGGCAGACUUUUCCUUAUGCCCAGCAACCUCUUAUGGGAAACGAUCAUACGCAAUUCCUGAGAAGGCUGAGCAUUUUCAGUGAGCGAAAUUACUCCCCUAAUUAGGACGCGGCUUAAUAAUAUGCACUAAGCAAAACAUUUUAAUAGACUGACACUUUUGUAAUUCCAAUUUGAAAUGUGAUUUCGCCAUGAAAUAUUCAAAUGUUUAACUAAUAAUUUAUAACACUCGCUAUAAGAAUUUCAUGAGUAUCGCACUCAUAGCCAGAUCGCUUAUUGUUGAAAAGUAAUGAAUAAUUCUUAUUUUUUUAUCUAAUACCUAAGCGAUGAAUAUCAGUAUGCUACUUGAUAUUAAAAAUAUUUUUUUGAUUAAUAAAACCUUGUGACGAAACUUUUUGCGAUAAAAUGAUGAAUGCUUGAAAUGCCCAGGCGCGUAUGAUCAGCUUGAUAUUACGUGGUAAUGACAAAUAUCAUGACAUACCAAAGUUGUAUCCAAGCAACUUCUUUAUAACUAUAUCUUUUUAUUCAUAGAAAGUAAACUAAUAUUAACAUAACUGUUAACAUAGUCCAGUGAACUGAUAUUUUAGCUUUUUAUACUAUGAAUUGGCUGUAAAUAUUAUCACAGUUUAACAAUCAUGCAGUGGAUUGGAGCAUGGUUUUUUUUAUUUGCGUCGUGUACAAUUCAGUGCAUAUUCAAAUGUAUAUAUAUGAAGAAUGAAAAGUACAAUUAUUUGUAUUGUACCUGCAUUGCAAAAUGUAUUUAAUCAUAAAACAGAAAAAACGCCUUUUUUAUGAAUCUUACCACUAGGUAGGUGAUGUGGCAAUUGCUGGUUACAAUAGGAUUUUAAUAUCAAUUUUUAAGAAACAUAACAAACAGAAUUAGGAUUAAUUUUGUUUUCUUCACGGAAUUUAUCUUAAGGUAAUCAGCACACGAUAGUUUCGGCUAGUAUGUUUUAACACGCUCACGUGAAUUAUCUCUUGAUCCCACCUACUAACCCCUGUUUUUAAUAAACGUUCCCAGUCCGUCACAAUGUACCAAUCAGAACAGAGUUUUUUUAACAUUCUUACCAUUGACUUAUUUAUUUGAUAUAAAAUUAAGUUGAGGAUCGUGUAUUGAAAAUGGCCGUAAGUGUGUUGAUAAGACGGGGCUGGCAAUGUUCCACUUCGUGCAUUCGCUCUGCACUACUGCAUUAGUUUCAAAACUGUAUGAUUGAUAACCUGCGAUUUUACAUUGACCAAUAUUACUUGUCUAAGUUGAAUCUAAAAAUUUGUUAAACCGAAAUAAUCGAAGCACUGAUAUUAUUUGCUGUGUUCGCUAUUCGACACGCAGUAUUGAUCACAUUCCUUUAUUUAAUUUUUCCAAAUUAUAUAUCUUUUACGUUUUCUAUUUAUUGUUAAAGGUGUUUCUCUUAUUGCCAUAAAAUUGUUGAAUAUGAACAUUGUUGUAGGAUAAUACAGUAAUUAAACUGUAGAUUACUUCGGAUAAAUUAUGUAGGAUAUUAUCUUCUCUUCCCCGUCCAUUUAGUACAAUGUUAUUUAUAUUAUGAAAUAAUGAAUUAAAAAUUGCAGUAUCACAGUGGCUAUAAAAAUAUGGCUAUGUGUAAAUUGUGUGAUGAACAUACUGAAUAUCGAACUAUCAAUUUAUAUCUACAAUAUCAAUUACAAAUAUCGAAUUAUUUAAAAAAUGUAGUGGUUAAAUUUAUAAUCAACAAUAUUAUUGAACUGUGCCAGAAAUUUAUAAAAAUAAAUUCUUUAUCAGUAUUACAUUUGCCUACGUACUUAUUUACAAAGAAACAUUGUUUAUUGGUAUUUAGAUAUAAGUAAGGUGAUUAGUACUUAUUUCUCUCUUGCACUUAGCAUUCCUAAAAGGCAUUAUUAUCAAAUUGUGCUAAUUUUUGUGGCAUUGUGUUGUACUCCAUAGAUGACACAUUAGCCACGUUUCCGAGUUAGUUGUCUGGUAGCAACUUUACUGUGAUUUCUUCAUUCGAGUAUAUUAAUUAUAAUGUAGCUUACAAAAUACGCUCUUAUGCAGGUACUAAAAUUCAGAUUUAAAAAUUAUUAAUAUUUUUUAAAAGUUUUGUUAGCAGUUAAUUAUAAUAUGUAUUAAAUGUAGGUGUUAUAAUGAUAUUAUGUGGUCACAAAUCUACGAGAAUCUGUUAUUAUCCUUGUAUUUAUUAUUAUAUUUCAAAUAUGUGCAAAUUGUGGUUAUUUAUACAUAAUUUCUAUAUACAGCUGAAGCAGAUCACUCCCCUUAGCAUUUUCUAGGAUAUGGUGUAUAGGUGCUUAUGGCACUAAUUCAAAAGUAUAAUCGAUAACAAAUUGAUUAAUCGAUUUGGACACUGAAAUCGAUGUUGAUUAGGUACCUACUGUAGAUAACUACCUGUGUAAGGGCUUCUUUUACUUAAGCAAAGGCAGCUAGCAUAAAUAAGUUUAUUAAAAAUUCACUAUCUUUACUAGUAUUUUUACUUAAAGUAAGACUUAGGCAGCUAGCAAUGAGAUUAAUAAUUCUUGAAUUUUAGAUUUGUGAGAAAUAUUAGUGCCUUAAAGAUAAAUUGUUAUUGUAGAUUAUUAUUGAGAUACUUUUACACUGUUUCUCUGCCUAUUCUGUAUACGCCAUUAUUUAAGUUCAUUGCACCUGAUAUUAUACUAUUAUGUUGUAAUGUAAGUUUAAACAUCACUCAUCACAACACUCAUUUAUUCCCUAUUGAAACCGAAUAGACCAAUUGUAAUUUAUUUGUUUGCAUCAACAUUAAUUUCGUGUAAGGUAUUAUGCCAAAUAUAUUGUAAUAUUAUGAUAUCACAUUGUUAACAAAUGUUAUGAAAUAUAGAUUUUUGAAAUAA
RNAcentral lists this unclassified non-coding RNA (5314 nucleotides) under Manduca sexta (tobacco hornworm). RNAcentral's name for it is "serine/threonine-protein kinase PAK mbt, transcript variant X1". The record is from RNAcentral. Lineage: Eukaryota; Metazoa; Arthropoda; Insecta; Lepidoptera; Sphingidae.